GGAGAGAGACAUGCGCGCAUAUCAAUAAGCGGAGGAAAAGAAACUAACAAGGAUUCCCUUAGUAACGGCGAGUGAAGCGGGAAGAGCUCAAAUUUGAAAUCUUCAAGGUUUUACCUUGACGAAUUGUAGUUUAAAGAAGUGUUUUCUGCUGAAGUUUUGGUAAAAGUUCUUUGGAAUAGGACAUCAUAGAGGGUGAGAAUCCCGUAUUUGACCAUUAUUUUCAGCUUCGUGAUACACUUUCAAAGAGUCGGAUUGUUUGGGAAUGCAGUCCAAAAUGGGUGGUAAAUUUCAUCUAAAGCUAAAUAUUGGCGAGAGGACCGAUAGCGAACAAGUACCGUGAGGGAAAGAUGAAAAGAACUUUGAAAAGAGAGUUAAACAGUACGUGAAAUUGUCAAAAGGGAAGCGUUUGACACCAGUGUUGUUUUCUCGAAAAUCAAUUAAAAAUGGCUCGAUUUUGUAUUGUUGAGACCUUAAAAGCUCACUGUACAUUUUUCGUGUCUUUUUUAAUGCACUUUUCGUUUAACAAGUCAACAUCAGUUUCUUUUGUUGUAAAAGGGUCAUUGGAAGGUGGCUUUCUUUUCGGAGAAAGUGUUUAUAGCCUUUGGCCUCUGCAAUCGGAGAGACUGAGGUCUGCAGCGUAGACUCUUCGGGGUUAGAUACAUUUGUGCUAAGUUAUAGCUUUUUAUAGACAACUUGUUGACUAUAAUUAGUCUUGUAGCUUACUCGCUUAUGCUAUUUUACCUACGCUUAGGAUGUUGAGUCGUAGAGCACGCAG
This 775-nucleotide ribosomal RNA is filed under the name uncultured Neocallimastigales. RNAcentral describes it as "partial large subunit ribosomal RNA". It matches the Rfam family "Eukaryotic large subunit ribosomal RNA", at positions 23 to 634 of the family's 3401-position model. The record is from RNAcentral. Lineage: Eukaryota; Fungi; Neocallimastigomycota; Neocallimastigomycetes; Neocallimastigales.